RNAcentral lists this ribosomal RNA (407 nucleotides) under uncultured bacterium. RNAcentral describes it as "partial 16S ribosomal RNA". It matches the Rfam family "Bacterial small subunit ribosomal RNA", at positions 30 to 526 of the family's 1533-position model. The record is from RNAcentral.
AUUGAACGCUAGCGGCAUGCCUUACACAUGCAAGUCGAACGGUGUGGCGAACGGGUGAGUAAUGUAUCGGAUCUUGCCCCGUAGCGGGGGAUAGAUAAGCGACAACGUAGAUAAUACCUAAUACUUUUCGAUCGUCCGAUAUCGGAUUAGCUAUUUGGUGGGGUAACGGCUCACCAAGGCGACGAUCCGUAGCCGGUGUCAGAGGACGAACAGCCACACUGGGACUGAGACACGGCCCAGACUCCGACGGGAGGCAGCAGUGGGGAAUUUUGGACAAUGGGGGAAACCCUGAUCCAGCCAUGCCGCGUGUGCGAAGAAGGCCUUCGGGUUGUAAAGCACUUUUGUUAGGGAAGCGGUACCUAAAGAAUAAGCACCGGCUAACUACGUGCCAGCAGCCGCGGUAAUUC